GAAUAUGAGAAAACAUUAUCAACAACAACACACUACUGCUGCUCCAUUUCAAUGCAAAGUCUGUCCAUGUCAUUUCGAUGAUAGAAUAAAAUCUGAAGAUCAUGUAGUGAUUAAGCAUAUGUUUUUACAUCCGUAUGUGUGUGAAGAAUGUGAGGCUCAAUUCUUUACACCGAGAACAAAAGUAACAAGAAACUGGAAUGGGGAGUAUUUUCAGGCGAAAAAAUUCAAGGUGGUGCUCUGAAGACGCAGAUAUAUAUGUUAAUUUGGUUCCAUAAAGUAACUAGAAAACUGAUGGGAAUCUCUUUCGAAUACACAUCUUUGAACGACGUCAAACUUGCGGCAGCUAAGUUGCGGACCACUAACACCCGUGCUGUUAAAGAACAUG
Folsomia candida is the source of this 385-nucleotide long non-coding RNA. RefSeq lists it as uncharacterized. The record is from RefSeq and is a predicted model, not a curated record. Lineage: Eukaryota; Metazoa; Arthropoda; Collembola; Entomobryomorpha; Isotomidae. The transcript is spliced from 4 exons.